GGGGCCCUUUCUACCUAGUACCCUCCCCUGGACUGGUAUUACAGCCGAGACAGACAGGGGCCCUUUCUACCUAGUACCCUCCCCUGGACUGGUAUUACAGCUGAGACAGACAGGGGGCCCUUUCUACCUAGUACCCUCCCCUGGACUGGUAUUACAGCCGAGACAGACAGGGGACCCUUUCUACUCAGGCACAGGGAGGGGCAGCUCAGAACCUUUGUGGUCCUGAGUGAUUCUCUGCCACAACAACUAACAUGGAUUUAAAAAAGGAAAGUGUAACAAUGGUCCUUCUGUGUUAGUGGCUGAAAAUGUCAGGUCUUCCUCUUCUGAUGCUAUGAUGCCCAGUUCUGUCUGUGUGUAGUCUGGUGCUGGGAGGUUACUAGGCUUCACAGACAACAGUCUGGUGCUCUGAGGUUACUAGGCUUCACAGACAACAGUCUGGUGCUGUGAGGUUACUAGGCUUCACAGACAACAGUCUGGUGCUGUGAGGUUACUAGGCUUCACAGACAACAGUCUGGUGCUCUGAGGUUACUAGGCUUCACAGACAACAGUCUGGUGCUGGGAGGUUACUAGGCUUCACAGACAACAGUCUGGUGCUGGGAGGUUACUAGGCUUCACAGACAACAGUCAGACUUCCUGUCUGUAAGCGUCCCCAUGUUCAGAAUUAUAUUUGUAUUAUUCUCACUAGUCUUUAUUUACACAUUUAAUAUUUCUUGGGAGCUGCUUGUGUCUGGAUGGUGUGCUAACCUGUUUGACAUUAUAAUAAUGUAAUAUAAUUUAUAUCGUUUGUAUUAUUCUAACAUAAUAUUGUGGGUCUUUUUUAUUCUGUAAUUUCUUCCUGGGGGUUUUAUAGGAUCGGGGGGGGGGUGUAUAUUAACACCAGUCUAAACCAGCUUCACCUGGAGCUGCUAUGGGACAAUAAAAU
Oncorhynchus tshawytscha (Chinook salmon) is the source of this 922-nucleotide long non-coding RNA. NCBI's taxonomy places the organism in Eukaryota, Metazoa, Chordata, Actinopteri, Salmoniformes, Salmonidae. The record is from Ensembl.